RNAcentral lists this ribosomal RNA (742 nucleotides) under uncultured bacterium. RNAcentral's name for it is "bacterial SSU rRNA". It matches the Rfam family "Bacterial small subunit ribosomal RNA", at positions 8 to 796 of the family's 1533-position model. The record is from RNAcentral.
AGAGUUUGAUCAUGGCUCAGAACGAACGCUGGCGGCAGGCUUAACACAUGCAAGUCGAACGCACUCUUCGGAGUGAGUGGCAGACGGGUGAGUAACGCGUGGGAACGUACCCUUUGGUUCGGAAUAACCCAGGGAAACUUGGGCUAAUACCGGAUACGUCGGAAACGGGAAAGAUUUAUCGCCGAAGGAUCGGCCCGCGUCGGAUUAGCUAGUUGGUGGGGUAAUGGCCCACCAAGGCGACGAUCCGUAGCUGGUCUGAGAGGAUGAUCAGCCACACUGGGACUGAGACACGGCCCAGACUCCUACGGGAGGCAGCAGUGGGGAAUAUUGGACAAUGGGCGCAAGCCUGAUCCAGCCAUGCCGCGUGAGUGAAGAAGGCCUUAGGGUUGUAAAGCUCUUUCAGCGGGGAAGAUAAUGACGGUACCCGCAGAAGAAGCCCCGGCUAACUUCGUGCCAGCAGCCGCGGUAAUACGAAGGGGGCUAGCGUUGUUCGGAAUUACUGGGCGUAAAGCGCGCGUAGGCGGACAUUUAAGUCAGGGGUGAAAUCCCAGGGCUCAACCCUGGAAUUGCCUUUGAUACUGGAUGUCUGGAGUUCGGGAGAGGUGAGUGGAAUUGCGAGUGUAGAGGUGAAAUUCGUAGAUAUUCGCAGGAACACCAGAAGCGAAGGCGGCUCACUGGCCCGAGACUGACGCUGAGGCGCGAAAGCGUGGGGAGCAAACAGGAUUAGAUACCCUAGUAGUCC